GCGUGAGUGAAGAAGGCCUUAGGGUUGUAAAGCUCUUUCAGGUGGGAAGAUGAUGACUGUACCACCAGAAGAAGCCCCGGCUAACUCCGUGCCAGCAGCCGCGGUAAUACGGAGGGGGCUAGCGUUGUUCGGAAUUACUGGGCGUAAAGGGCGCGUAGGCGGUUCGGUUAGUCGGGCGUGAAAGCCCCGGGCUCAACCCGGGAAUUGCGCUCGAUACUGCACGAACUCGAGUCCGAGAGAGGGUAGUGGAAUUCCCAGUGUAGAGGUGAAAUUCGU
Molecule: ribosomal RNA, 276 nt
Filed under: uncultured bacterium
Lineage: Bacteria
Description: partial 16S ribosomal RNA
Rfam family: Bacterial small subunit ribosomal RNA
Source: RNAcentral